CGCAGCAAACAGAGAAACGCGAACUCGGCAAUGAAAUCGAACAAAACUCAGACUCGAUUUACAAACCCAAAGCAAACACUACAACUUGAAAACGACUCGCUGAAGAUUCACAAACUCAGUGAUUAAAACAGGUUACUCGACUCAAAACAGAUGACAGCAGCAGAACAGAACUCAAAUUUGCUAAUAAUAUGAAACUAACAGAACUCGACCGUGACUCGGACACUCGGCGAAAGAACAGGGCAUAUGCAGGUGUGUCGAAACUCGAAAGAAAUAAAGCAGG
This 280-nucleotide long non-coding RNA is filed under the name Daucus carota (carrot). Its description in RNAcentral is "long non-coding RNA (DCAR_LNC000951)". Lineage: Eukaryota; Viridiplantae; Streptophyta; Magnoliopsida; Apiales; Apiaceae. The record is from RNAcentral.